Molecule: long non-coding RNA, 383 nt
Organism: Mauremys reevesii (Reeves's turtle)
Lineage: Eukaryota; Metazoa; Chordata; Testudines; Geoemydidae
Exons: 2
Source: RefSeq, a predicted model, not a curated record
UAGAUGCUACAAAUGAGAUUGGAGCCCCAUUGUGCUAGGAGCUGUACAUUGUAAGAGUUCCUGCUCCCAGUAUAUAUAGACAAGAAGUACACAGGAUGGAGGAGAGACAGAGACAGCAGAUGUUCUCUAAGGACAGAGUGGGGAUCUGAUCUCCGGUAUGAACUGGAGCUGCUGUCAGCUGAGUUUACUCCAUCUUCCAUGAGUGAGAUACCAGUGACUUCUGUUCUGCACAAACCAGGAGUAUCCUAUUUGUUACUGGUGUAAGCUGCCUUUUGCUGACACCAACAUUUGCCAACACGGCUUCAAGAUGAAAGUGACCAGCUUAGUAUGUGAAAUUUUGCCACACUCUGUUCUACUCUCCCAUUAAAAACAAGUACAAGUCA